UCGGGAAUUUUGGGCAAUGGGCGAAAGCCUGAUCCAGCCAUGCCGCGUGUGUGAAGAAGGUCUUCGGAUUGUAAAGCACUUUAAGUUGGGAGGAAGGGCAGUUACCUAAUACGUGAUUGUUUUGACGUUACCGACAGAAUAAGCACCGGCUAACUCUGUGCCAGCAGCCGCGGUAAUACAGAGGGUGCAAGCGUUAAUCGGAAUUACUGGGCGUAAAGCGCGCGUAGGUGGUUAGUUAAGUUGGAUGUGAAAUCCCCGGGCUCAACCUGGGAACUGCAUUCAAAACUGACAAGCUAGAGUAUGGUAGAGGGUGGUGGAAUUUCCUGUGUAGCGGUGAAAUGCGUAGAUAUAGGAAGGAACACCAGUGGCGAAGGCGACCACCUGGACUGAUACUGACACUGAGGUGCGAAAGCGUGGGGAGCAAACAGGAUUAGAUACCCCAGUAGUCCCUGAGCGGGCUGGCAAGGCGCAU
RNAcentral lists this ribosomal RNA (472 nucleotides) under uncultured bacterium. Its description in RNAcentral is "bacterial SSU rRNA". It matches the Rfam family "Bacterial small subunit ribosomal RNA", at positions 355 to 825 of the family's 1533-position model. The record is from RNAcentral.